CACAAAGCCGGCAGUUGUGGACGGAGUCCGACGGACUGUUUGCGUCUGUGAAUCUUAUUUUUCUUCAUCUUGCUGGCAUCUUCCUCCCCUGUACCUCAGCCACAGUGGCCGGGACGUAACAGAGACCUGUGAUACGAAUGGAGGGAGGAGUUUCGAUCAUUAAGCGGCAAAUAAGGAAGGAAGGAGCAGGAAUAGACCGGCGACAACUGGAAAGGGGAGAAUGAUGAAAAGUGGCAAACGACGAGGGCGAGGAGAAAAUUUUAUUAUGAAGGGCUGCGGAUAUGUCGACUGUGGCGAGCGACCAUACUGCAGGGAGACUAGUCUUGUGAGGCAAGGAUGGAAAGAGCUGGAAGGGAAAUUUAUUUUUGAGGGACUGAGUAUGUCGACUGUGGUAUGUAAACAUACUGAGGGGGGACAUGCUGUGGGUUAUGUGGGCUUGAGGAGAGAGAGAGAGAGAGAGAGAGAGAGAGAGAGAGAGAGAGAGAGAGAGAGACUGACUGACUGACUGACUCUUGAUUGGAGAGAAAAAUAAAGGAGCGUCAAAUCUCAUGUUCAAAACAUGUGUGACCUCGCGACCUUUCCUGCGCAUGCUCAUAACAAUAAUAAGUUUGAUUUGUGAAGUGCCAUAUCAAUAAUUCCCGCAUCCCUAGGGAAUAAGAAAAGAAGAAUAUAUUCUUUGUAUCAACGUCGUCGAACUUUAGAAACGAGACAUUGUGCGGUGGUCUGCUGGGCUCAAGGUCCUUUAUUCUUAAACAUCUCAGUGUCUUGUCAUAUUUCCACUUUCUGCAAGCUUUAUGUAAAAUAUUUUAGUUUUCAAAUGGACAUUUCUUGUAUUUGUAUUAUUAAGUGGUAGUUUGACAAAAAACAGAACAGAACAGAACGUUUAUAUAUAUAUAUAUAAACUAAAGUUAAAAAUAACGCCGACAUGCAGGUGAAGCCUUGCCAGUCCCCACUUCUCUCUUAUUAGUCGUUCUCGAUCUUCAUAAAAUGUUACUUGCCAAAUUUAAAUUAUGAUUGAAAAGAUCUUAUUGACACUAAAAGGAACUGGUGGAUUAGUUCGAGUGUUAAUAGUUAGUGCCUGUGGAUUAUUCCCUUCACUAGAAACGUCUAUUGUUGCUCAAAAGGAGUUUACAGUCAGAUUCCAGAAGGUACCAUUCAUUGGAAAUUGAGUUGUUCCAAAGAAGUAACCAGUGGGCCAUAACGUCAUCAGCAGUUAGAGUUGCAGAAACCUUGUUUGUCAGAGCGGCGAGUAGCACUCGCUCGUUUCUCACUACAAAACAAAUGCAAUGAACGUUAUUGGUUGGUCAUGAUGCCUUUCGUCCUUUACAAGUCUCAAUCUGCUGAGCUCAAAUGAUAAUUUUUUUUUUUUCUUUUUUUUUUUUGCGAGUGUUAGUGCAGCGAAUGAGCAACGAACACGAGGCUUCAAAUCUCAUUUUGAAAGUUCGCAGCCGAUGUACUAUUCUUAUUAGCACGGGAAAUAGAGUUACUGAUCAUAAUGACAUUUCAAAAUCAGGGCGUAAUUAUUCUCUCUCUCUCUCUCUCUCUCUCUCUCU
This is a long non-coding RNA of Scylla paramamosain (green mud crab), 1553 nucleotides long. RefSeq lists it as uncharacterized. Lineage: Eukaryota; Metazoa; Arthropoda; Malacostraca; Decapoda; Portunidae. The transcript has 3 exons. The record is from RefSeq and is a predicted model, not a curated record.